AUCUGAACUCCAGCUGUUUGAAUAAUGUAUUGAAAAAUUCACACUUUUUUGCUUGAAAGCCGGCUACAACAAAUGAGUUUGUUAUUUUCUCUUCCUUUGUGGUUCUUUAUAUAUCACCUUGGUUUUGUACAUACACAAGCUCUUCCUUUGAUUCACGUAACAGCAAGGAGGAACUCUGGCAGAAGAUGCAGCAGUGGAGAUUGGAUCCAGGGAGCUGGGGCUAAGUUCCUCAUAUGAUGGUGAGUGUAAAAAAGUAGCACCUUCAGACUUGAACAUCAGUUUUCCUGACUUCCAGCAGAACAGUUGCAGGCUCUGACAAAUACAAAUGAAGAAAUCUUACUCCAAUUUUCAGAUCCAGGGUGGAAACCAGACAGUGGAAAGUAUGCAGCAAUGCUGAUGCAUUGUGAAAAGCAACAGAAUCAGUAAUACUGGAAUGCAUUUAAUUCUCCAGAGAAAGAAACUCCUCCUCACCUAUCCUUGGGCCAUGGCAUAGGCUGAAACCUUCCUUCUGUAAACCCGCCUGAGGUCUGCCCUCACUCUGCUCAGUGGACUGGUCAUCCAAGACUCGGGUCUCAUGUCACACUAGAGUAAACUGGGCUCCAGCUGCCAUUAAAGGGCUGUGAGACAGUCUGUAAAGUGACAGAAGAAACAAAAGUCUGGGGGAGAGAGAAAAUACCAGCAUGCAAAUGUGAGAAGGCCUGAUGGGAAGAGAGCAGAGAGGUGCAUCUAUCCUGACUUCAGGAUGUCUUUAUGCCUGGCUGAAGAUGCCCAAGUGAACCAGCCCAAUAGGGAGUAUAACAACAUUGGAGCAGCACAGCAGCUCCAUGGCUUGACCUUGGGGCACUGACUUGUCUCACAGAUGGGUCAAUAUUUGCCAAGACUCCACUUAGUAAUUGCCAUUCCUGUGGGAACUCUCUACAAGCAUUUCCUAGGAACAAGGAACACAGAAUAGGCAUCUAUAGACAAAAUUACAAAGCCUGACCUUGUGGUACUUAUGCCUCCACUAACUAGAACUGACUAUGUGGAUAUCUGUCAAAACUCUAACUAGGUCUCAUUUCACUUUGGUUUUUUUCCUACACAGUUCUGCAGAAAAGACUUCAUACAAAGUUGCUUUGAGAUACAUCAACAGAAGAACAGUCCAUGACAGAUGUCACCACCAUUACAGAUAGCUGACAGAUAGAGGUCCUGGACUGAAACUGUGUCCAAGGCCUGAAAAAAUAGAUGAUAAGAUUAUCAAAUCCCAGCACCUCACAGAGUUACAUUAAUAAUCCUAUGUAUGUAUGUAAUGGAUGUCAGUAAUCUGCUUUUGGCCCUUUCAGUUGCGCCUGCAAGGUCACUGACCCUCCUGAAGCAACUCCUCCAGCAGAAUCACUGCAGGAGGAUGCAGGCACAUCCCAUGUGGCAUUUUGGAUUGGCCCCCUAAAGCAGGGGCUCACAUGGCUGAAAGUAUUUCAGCUGCCUGUGGUACUGGGGCCACCACAAUGCUCAGCCACAGCUGUCAGCACCUGCAGGAGAAAGCUGAGCCCAGGGAAGCCGUGGAAAUGUGAUUGCUUGCUGUUGUAAGUAGGGUUAUUCACUGAUACUAUUACCAGGCAGCAAGUGAGAAAUGAGGAAUUGUGGCCAAGGCUCUUACUUAGCAUUGGAUGAGAGUAUAAUGUGUAGAAAACAAGGUGUUGUGCAGUGGACAAUUGCUUGUAGAACAGUUAGCCUUGCUCAGCUUUCGUGCCCCUAUUAAGAGAAAAGUGUUGAUAAACUGGCAAUUAGCUCUCAGAAGAGUCAAAAAAUUACUGAAGCAGAUUCUAUACUGCAAGACUUCAGGGCUCCUUCUAAGCAGCUCAGGAAGGACAAACACAUAUGCAACUGUUACAAUAUUGUUUAUGUAACUAGCAGGGUACAGCCAAAAUUUUAAGAGAACUUCAUAAAAUUAAAAGUAAGGGAUACAUCUGAGCAAUUCAGAAAAGGUUUCCAUCAAUUCUCUAAUGCAGACAUAAUUCUAAAUUAUAAUCAGGAGGUUUUAAGGAAGAUGUGCACAACUUCAAAUAGCUAGCAAGCCUUCAUUAAACAGGGCUGCUGGGCUUUGUUCCUAAUAUCCCUUCCUUUUCUUACAUUUAUUAAUCUACGGUUGCUGCCUCCUGAUGAAAUUUAGCUCCAUGCCUCCACCCAGUGGGCUUUUCUUAAUCUAGAACAAAAAGAGACCCUAAAAAGUGCAUUCAUGCACACAGGACCAGCAGAAGCAUUGGUGAUGUGAAUUAUUUCUUUCCAUCUUUUUUGUAGAGUUGCUCAGCUGAAAUGUAGACAGGCAUUUGAUAUUACCUUCUGACAACCACAAAUGUGAUAUCUUCAAAAAUGCUUUAAUAUUGUUUCAAUAAUAUGUUUGCCAUUGCUAUAAAAAUGAUAAUUGGGAAGCAUCCAAAUCCAGCUGGCACCAGACAAAAGCUUAAAUUUCAGAGUGUUUUUUUUUUAAAUCUAAAUAUCUGAAAUUAGUUUUAAUUUUUAAAAUAAAUGCAAAACAGAUUACAACACUGGCUUGUGAUUAUAAAUAACCCUUACUUCAUAGUACUCAUUUUUCAAUAUUUAAACUAAGGAAAAGUAUUUUUUACCUUUUUUCUUUCCAAUUGAGAUUAUUUAUUGACUUGCAAUGGCACUCCUGCAUUAAACUGGAAGAAUUAUCCUGGACAUAUACCCUAAAGAGCUUAUAACAAAAUGAGUUCUGUAGAUGUCAACUUCUCUCUUAAACUACAUAGGGUAUUUCAGAUAUAUGCUCUGGUUUUGUAGAACAGUGGUUCAUAUAUGCUGAAUAUUGUUUACAUUAAGAAACACAUGGUUGUUACCAGUUCUCCAACUGUC
Molecule: non-coding RNA, 2847 nt
Organism: Cyanistes caeruleus (blue tit)
Lineage: Eukaryota; Metazoa; Chordata; Aves; Passeriformes; Paridae
Source: RefSeq, a predicted model, not a curated record